RNAcentral lists this ribosomal RNA (274 nucleotides) under uncultured bacterium. Its description in RNAcentral is "partial 16S ribosomal RNA". It matches the Rfam family "Bacterial small subunit ribosomal RNA", at positions 523 to 796 of the family's 1533-position model. The record is from RNAcentral.
AUACGGAGGGUGCAAGCGUUACUCGGAAUUACUGGGCGUAAAGGACGCGUAGGCGGUUUAGAAAGUCAGAUGUGAAAGCCUAUGGCUUAACCAUAGAACUGCAUCUGAAACUCCUAGACUAGAGUGAGGGAGAGGUCAGUGGAAUUAGUGGUGUAGGGGUAAAAUCCGUAGAGAUCACUAGGAAUACUCAUAGCGAAGGCGUCUGACUGGAACUUUACUGACGCUGAGGCGUGAAAGCGUGGGGAGCAAACAGGAUUAGAAACCCCAGUAGUCC